GCUGGGUAUGAUGGCGCAUGCCUGUAGUCCUAGCAACUUGGUAGGCUGUGGCAGGAGAAUUGCAAGUUUUAGGCCAAUUUAGGCCUCAGCAAUUUAGGCCCUAAGCAACUUAGUGAGACCCCGUCUCAU
RNAcentral lists this small RNA (129 nucleotides) under Marmota monax (woodchuck). The record is from RNAcentral. Lineage: Eukaryota; Metazoa; Chordata; Mammalia; Rodentia; Sciuridae.